RNAcentral lists this long non-coding RNA (4716 nucleotides) under Homo sapiens (human). RNAcentral's name for it is "HSALNT0305700". Lineage: Eukaryota; Metazoa; Chordata; Mammalia; Primates; Hominidae. The record is from RNAcentral.
CUUAGCACCUCAACAUAUCAAUUUUGGGGAAAUACAAUUCAGUUCACAGUGCAUAGAUAGAUAUUAAUUGAUAUUAUCAAAAGAAACCAUGGGCAGAUAAACCCAAAACCAAACUGUUUUAAUGGUUAUCUAUUGGGAAGAAAAAGAAACAGGGUGAACGGGAAGUUACAGAAGCAAGAUUUCUGUGACUGUAACUGGAUAAAUAGAGAGUUUGGGAGGACGAUAAGUGUUUUAUGUGAUUUUUAAAAAUUAAAGUAAACUGAAAUGAAUGAGUCUUCCUGCAUAUAAAGUGUGUGGCAUAACCACAUAAAGCAAACAAUUACUUAAAGUGGCUUUAAAACGCAGCAUUUUGACUAUACAUCCCAAGUGAGAGAUAUGCUAUGGACAAUAAAAAAAAGGAAAAGAAAAAAGGAAAGAAAUCAUAAAUGGCAUUCAGUAGCCAUAUAUUAGUAUUGACAUUUUUAUUAAAUUACUAUGUUUCCAUCAUUAGGAACCAUAAUUUUCAGUAUAAAAAUGACAUAGCAUAAAAUCAAGGAAGUUUAAGUAAAAAUCUUGUAAUCUUAAAAGUGAAUUGGAAAUUGCAGUAUGAACUCACAUUGUGUUUUACUCUUUAAAAAAUACAUAUUUUCUAGUUCUGUCCACUGAAAAGACCCAGAAGCAAUGAAAACCCAGUAACAAUGAGCACACUUCCACGGCUGAACUCUCUAGAUAACAUUUACCAAUGAAAUUGGCUGAUUCUAAGUCUAGGGCAAAAAAUGUACAAAAGGAGACUGGAUACAAGUCUCUUAUUGUACCAGAAAGUGAAGGAGAAAUCAAAGACUAAUGAGGUCACGUUAAAGUGAUACAGGACGACACAGGGCCUGCCUGCAGCAGCUGGUCAAUAAUGAAGGGAUUAAUCCAUGACUGCAAGACUCGUGGGAAGGAGGGAGUGGGGACUGCAGGGAGGGUCCUAGUAAAAGCAGGGUGGGCCUCGAUGAGCACAGCAUGGACAGUGCGAUUUAAAUCCCAUCGCUUGUGGGCAGGAGGAGUGAGGAUGCCAGAACCUAGUUAUCCCCCACCAUCCCACGCUCUCCCAGGAGGCGGCGGCAGGAAGUGCAGUCUACAGUAAGGGAAAGCCGCCGGAGCUGGAGACAGGCUGGAAAGAGCAGGUAACAGCCCACAAGGAGCGGGGGCCCUGGCUGUCAGACUCAACUUGCAGGACCAUCAAGUGCAGGUGUGGUUCAAGAACCGGGGCCGCUUGCUCUGCGGUAGCAACGGCACAUAACCGCAGCGAUGACCAGGGCAGCCAAGCCAGCAGCCGGGACCCCGGGAUGCUCUUGGCACAUGAUCCGACUCCCCUGCCUUUGCGGGUCCUGUACUCCCGCGAGGUCCAGGAUUGUGCAGCCCCUCCCCAACCGGCCGUUGGGAAUCUUCGCAGCAGCAGAACCCGCUGCCUCCAGGUCCGACCAGACCUGCAUAGGUAGAGAGUCCCCGCACAGGGCGGCCAGCAGAGCUACCCAGCUGCCCCAGGGCCUCGGGACCCCUGGGCCUGGGACCCAGGCCAGACCCUGACUCAUUCGGUGAUCUCACAGGACUCCUCCCACCCCAAGACCCUUUCAGGGACCCUGCCUCGAACUCCACGACAUGGGAGGCAGGGGCGGGCCUUUUGCAGGGGAAGGACUCCCCCAGCAGGACGUUUACUGAAUCUGGAGGGAGUCGCCCUGCAGAUAUCCCGCGGAAGCCGGAGGAGACCCAGCAAUUCCAUUUUGGAAAAUUUAUCCUGAGGAAAUAAAUAAAGAUGUAAACAGAGAAUAACUUACAGAUGUGACGUUUGUGAUCGUUAAAACUGGAAACAGCGCAAGAGUGGACGAUAGGGGAUGAGAGAGCCACACAGCGCAUAGAAGAUGAUCAGUCUGAAGAGAGGGUUUUCAGACAUGCAAUUAACUGCUAUUCACUGUACUUCAUUUUAACUGCAAACUAGCAGUCUCUUUCCCCAGGAAAAAAGAGGUCAACUCGGAGGAGCCAGGGAUUCAGCCCACUCUGGACAACACUCAGAGCCAUGGCACCUACCUGUAUGAAAAAAAAUUGUUAAGCAGCUGCCACUCCUAGUUACUGGCCUCUGCUCGGUGACUGAUGCACUUCUAACAUCCUUGUCCCAGGAUAAAGACCUUGUAAUGGAGAAAAAAGAUGGCAGGGAUCCUUUCCAUGGAAUUUCGGCUGUUGUCUAGUGGACCUUCCAGGAAUUGUCUGAUUCUAUGGGAGUGCGCAACUUUGACUGUUCAGUUGGGCCAAUUGGCAACACUGUAGAGACGGAAACUAACUUGUGGAGGGCUGAGGGUGAUACAGACAUUUUCUGUCCGUGGUAAUGCAAAAGGUGUUCAUAGCAAUGCAAAUGGAUUUUAUCCAAUGGGGGAGAUAAAUAUUUGAACGGGCUCUCUUGUUAAUUACUAGUUAAUCAAAAUAUUUGACAUGUAUUCAUUCUAUAUUUAUAGGGGAGUCAUGAUUCUACCUUUUUGGAAAUGACCCUCUAGCAGUUUUAUUGGUCCUAUGAGAUACACAGUAGAUUCACCAGCCAGAGCCAGAUGAGCUGCACAGUUGCCAAAGGGAACUUCAGAUGCCACCAGAGCCUCAGCUCUGUCCUCCCUCACCUCCCAAGAAAGCCUGGAUCUUUGAGUUGUGUUGAUGGGCAUAUUCGUGUUUGCCACUUGAAGGAGUAAGAGGCCCGCGUGGAUCUGGAGGCAAGUGGCUGUGCCCUCCUGCAAUCUGCUCACCUGCAGAAAUGCUCGCGUAGGGCAGCUCUCAAUUUUCUGCCACCUCCUCAGCUUUUUCUGUGAAACAGAAGUUGGUUACUUUGGAUGAAAAUUAUCUUUCAUAUAGGUGGUUGGUACACGAAGCAAUAGUGACAAAUAAAACUCUGUGUGCGUGCUUCUGUUUUGUCAUGCAAUGAAAAGUAGUUUUGUUCCAGAAUAUGAAUGAACACAGUGAAUGAAGGUCUAAAGAAGUGAAUGUUAUUUGCCUUGGUUUAUAAUACCUGAGUCUGAAAAGAGACAUGAAGUAACUUAGAUCUUAGCAAAGUUUCCUCACUUUUGAUGGGCUUGCCGCCUUGGCUUACUGGUCACCGCCUUCAUCUACAGCAGGGGUCCCCAAUCCCCGGGCUAUGGUCCAGCAACAGUCCAUGGCCUGUUAGGAACCGGGCCACAUAGCAGGAGAUAAGCGGUGGUUACAGCUGCUCCCCAUCACUCACAGUACUGCCUGAGCUCUGCCUUCUGUCACGGUGGCAUGAGAUUCUCACAGGAGUAUGAACCCCUAUUGUAAACUGUGCAUGCAAGGCAUCUAGGUUGUAUGCUCCUUAUGAGAAUCUAAUGCCUGACAAUCUGUCACUCUCUCCCAUCACCCCCAGAUGGGACCAUCUAGUUGCAGGAAAAUAAGCUCAGGCCUCCACUGAUUCUAUAUUAUUGUGAGUUGUAUAAUUAUUUCAUUAUAUAUUACAAUGUAAUAAUAAUAGAAAUAAAGUGUACAAUAAAUGUAAUGUGCUUGAAUCAUCCAGAAACCAUCCCCCCAUCCCAGUCCGUGGAAAAAAUGUCUUCCAUGAAACCGGUUCCGGGCGCCAGAAAGGCUGGGGACCACUGACCUGCAGCACAAAGGCUAUUCUUUACCUUCCUUGUGGUCUGCCUGACAGCAAAAGUGUGUGUCUUGCCAGAAAAAUUUCUGUGCCUUAUGCUGACUUCAUUCAGUCCUUGAGUAUUUAAACAAAACAAUACAAAAACUCACUUGUGAAAGAGAUGAUUCUUUAAACUCAUGUCACCUUCUGUUUACUUUUACAUUUGUUUGCAUUAUUAAAAGAGUAAGCAAGAAUUAUUUCUUCAGCACCCAUGAUAUGCUCUGAGUCAAGUGCCUAAAUCUUCUCUGACAACUCUUUUGAUUUUUCCUUCUAGAGAUCAGAUCCUAAAUAUAGAAAGAGUAAAAGAAAACUUUUUAUCUUGAACUAAAACAUUCUUUGAAACUUCCCAGAGGGCCCCUGGAAAUUCACGAGAUUUGUACUUUCACCCUAUGAAGCAAGAGCAAGAGAGGCCAGAAGUAAUUAUGUUUAUUAUUCUUUAAUCAGCAUCUGAAGAGAUGCUCAGCCUCCCUAGGUUAAGUUUGUAUCAGUAAACUCAUUAUAAAUAGUUCAGACACUGCACACUUUGUAGGAAGGCCCUGAAGCUUUGCCAGUGCCCUCGUCGCCGUCCAUUGUAUGCUUUACCUUUAGUGAGACACUGAUCAAAAUGCUUAUGAAAUAGUUAUUUCCCAGUAGAGAAUCUUACUUUCCUGCGGUUGCUGUAAUAAAUUAACCAACAGUCAACUACCAGUAGUUUUGUAUUUACUCUGAUGUGCACCUGGGACUCUGCUGUAAGCCACUGGUGAGCGGCUGUGCCUUCCACAAGGGGCAGCCUCAGAGGCUCAAGAGGACAUGCAGGGGCUCUAAGCUGAGGAUGCUACAGUGAAUCACCUCGCGGGGACACGCUCCUGAGCGGACCUCACUUAGGCCACCUUCAGAUCAUCCAUCAGACGGAGUCAUGACUUCUAGGCCUCUAAGCUCAGAGCAGAGGCUCCCUAAAAGUUCUCUCUUGACUGGAUCCAGAGAACAGGAAUUAUUACUUAGGAUUGAAUGAGGCAAUUUUGUCUUGGUUAUUUUUUGGAAUAUUGCUGAUGUUGCUUUGAUGUUCUUUCAUUUCUAGAUCUGUGAGGAAGCUCCUU